This 523-nucleotide small RNA is filed under the name uncultured fungus. RNAcentral's name for it is "eukaryotic LSU rRNA". The stretch from base 151 to 307 matches the Rfam family "5.8S ribosomal RNA". The record is from RNAcentral. Lineage: Eukaryota; Fungi.
UUGGAUACCUCUCGAGGAAACUCGGACUUUGAGGAUUGCUGUGCGCAAGCCGGCUUUCCUUUGCAUUUCCGGUAUAUGUUUUUAUAUACACACCAAGUAUGUUACAGAAUGUCUAUUAAACAGGGCUUAAUUGCCUUUAAACUUGUAUACAACUUUCAACAACGGAUUCUCUUGGCUCUCGCAUUCGAUGAAGAACGCAGCGAAAUGCGAUAAUGUAAUGUGAAUWGCAGAAUUCAGUGAAUCAUCGAAUCWUUGAACGCACCUUGCGCUCCUUGGUAUUCCGAGGAGCAUGCCUGUUUGAGUGUCAUGAAAUYCUCAACCUCUUKCAACUUUUUUCUACAAGUUGGAUAAGGCUUGGAUAAUGGGAGUGUCUGCGGGCUUGCUCAGAAGUCUGCUCUCCUUAAAUGUAUUAGCAGGAUCCUUGUAUUGCUUUUGGUGCUGAUAUAUGUAUCUACGCCAUAACAUAUACAUGGUGGAUAUACUGCUUCUAUACCGUCUCGAUCAUGCACGCACAGACUUUGAC